RNAcentral lists this long non-coding RNA (1123 nucleotides) under Mus spicilegus (steppe mouse). Its description in RNAcentral is "lncRNA (ENSMSIG00000016980.1)". The record is from RNAcentral. Lineage: Eukaryota; Metazoa; Chordata; Mammalia; Rodentia; Muridae.
CUCACCUGCCAACCACAGCUUUUCAGUUGGCUUCACCUCUCGCCCCGCCCCCGUCUUAUCACAUGGAGCAGCUGAGCCUCAUUGCUGCAGGCUGAGCCCCAGUCAGUCCGGACAGGAUCUAUAAUUGCUGUCUGCCCCUGCUGAGGUGUUCUGAGCAAGCUGGCUAAACAAGAUGCCAAAAUUCUACAGCUGUGAGGAACUGCAUCCUGCCAACAACCUGGAGAUGGUUGGAAGUGCUCGCCUUCCAUUGGAGCAUGCAGAUGAUACCCCACAUUCUCACAAGGACCCUGCUGUCUACCAAAGACUUCCAUCACUCCAUGAAAUAACAGGUCACACAGGGGAUCGAUGAGUGGCUUGCUCAGAGGUGGGAGCUGUGGCCCAACAGUGACCAAUAUCAAAGGAGGAAGCCCAGUGGGUCCACUAGCAGAAGUAGGUACUGGGUCUCUGGCACUGUAGCAGGCACAUAGCCUGAAGCUGCUUAUUUAUAGCCACUCCAGUGACCAAUGACACAAGUGGGCUGGCUUGUUCAUUUUUCUUUUAGAUGGAAAAAAUAGGACCUUAAGUAAGGAAGUGUGUGUCCUCUGCUCAUAUAUAACCAUUCCAUAUGCUUUGGAUAAUAGUUUCAGCACCAUCUAUAAAAUAACUAAAUGAAAUGUGUUUCUUUCAGGGGCAUUUGGACAGACUGUGCAUCUCGUAAUUCCUUCUUAAAUUUAAGACUUAAAACAUGGAUGUUCUUUUAAUCAUAGGAUACAUUUAUACCUAAAUACACUGGACCUAUACUUAUUUAUGUUUAUUGAGUUUUAUAUAUGAGAUAUUUCUCCUGCAUGAUCUCUGACUUUUAAUUAUGUUUUGAGGCUGGCGAGAUGGGUAAAGGUGCUUGUUGCUGAGUCUGACAACCUGAGUUCAAUACCUGGACCUAUACGUGGUUUAAGGACAAAACCGAUUCCCCAACACUGUCCUCUGACCCUCCCAGCAACACACAAGUAAGUCAUUUUUUUUUUAAUGUAAGAAAAUACAAACAGCGUUCUGGCAUUAUAAUAUUGCUUUCUUAACAGUGGAAUAUUCUGAACUUCCUUUUUAUUUACAAGAGAAGUGAAAUAAAAAUAACCAGAUAUGACUGCCA